ACCCUCCAGAUCCCUUACUCAUCAGAACUAAACAUUGGUCAGAGUGGUUAUAAAAGGUGGAAAAGGAAAAUUGAAACUGACUUCAAUUCUUUUGUGACACACAAGCUAGCCUCACAUGAAA
Molecule: small nucleolar RNA, 121 nt
Organism: Echinops telfairi (small Madagascar hedgehog)
Lineage: Eukaryota; Metazoa; Chordata; Mammalia; Afrosoricida; Tenrecidae
Source: Ensembl